Molecule: ribosomal RNA, 115 nt
Filed under: Amphiprion percula (orange clownfish)
Lineage: Eukaryota; Metazoa; Chordata; Actinopteri; Pomacentridae
Source: RNAcentral
GUUUGUCUCUGAGACUGAAUACACCCAAUCUCAUCUGAUCUGCAAAGCUAAGCAGGGUUGGGCCUGGUUAGUAUUUGGAUGGGAGACUACGUGGGAAUACCAGGUGCUGUAAGCU